Long non-coding RNA from Dromaius novaehollandiae (emu), 1981 nucleotides. NCBI's taxonomy places the organism in Eukaryota, Metazoa, Chordata, Aves, Casuariiformes, Dromaiidae. The record is from Ensembl.
CUACGUUAAAACCACACAACUGCUAGCUUUACAGAGCUGCCCCUCGCUGGUACUGCGUUACUUCAUAGUCAGCCGUUCUCAGACAGUUCUUCCUCCCCCACAGGAGCCUGGAAAUAGGAUGCGCUUCCCCAGCCGUUUCGUCCCGUUCUGCCCGGCAAGCAGUUUGCGUCCUUCCAGGGGCUCCGAAGAGAGAAAAGAGUAAAUGGGAUCUCCCGGUUUGCCUCUGAUGGCCUGCUUUAAUGAUGUCCAGAUAUUGAGAAUGAUGAGAAGACAUGGCAUUAUCUAGUAGGAUGAGGAAGCUAUCCAAACAGACAUGGAGUAAUCCAGCACAAUGCAGCUGUAAUGGAAGGACUUCCUGUCAUUUUGGAGCAGUAGCAGCCUUACCUGGGGUCUGUCUCCCAUGGAUGCAUGCCAGACUGUCCUUUGGGAUAUAGUCCAACGAGUAGGAAAAGAAAAUAUGUUUAAACUUGGCAUAAUUGCAAUGAAUAUAAAGGGAGAAACUGGAGCUGCAUCACUGAUGCCAUUUCCGUACUGUGUUUGCUCUCAGGAAAGGGAAUCCAUUGAUGAAUUAGUGCAACAAGCCCACCGGCCGUGAAAGAAUACUCCUUACAAAAAAAUCCACGGGUGACUUCUAGGCCAGAUAGGUCAUUCCUCACCCUCAGUGGUAAGCAGUGCAAGCAGUCUUUGAGGUCUGGGGAAAACUGCUUGGUAUACCUGGAAAUCAGUCUAAUUAUUUAGGCAUCUAAAUACAGAAUUUUGAAUUUAACACUAUGCAUCUUAUAAACAAACAAAAAAGAAAAAUUAAUUUCAGCUGAGGCUAUUUUAGUCUUGAAUCAUGCUUUUCUACCACAUUUCAGUAAUGUGUGCCAUGCAUCUCAUUACCUUUGCUUUUCUGGGCUUUUUCUUUUAAAUUUUUCAGUCAUCGUACAGUGUUAUUUAGAUCUAACUCAGCACCCUUUCAUCAUGCUGAGUGGUUCCAGUGAAUAAUGGUUGUAGGACUGGCCUGCUAGUAAUUCAGGGUUGCUGUCUUUUAUCUUGAAAAUGAAAUACCUCUACUGGACUUAAGAGUUGCUUGCCUUAUGUAUGUCGUGUGUGUAAAUAAUAUGGACUAGAUGUACCAGGUCAGUGCAGACACAGUGCAAUCCUUUUUAAAAAAAGUUCAGCCAGUCAUUAAUAYUUUGUAUUGUAGGAGACAAUUUCCACAUUUAACUGAAUCUUGAGUUUAAUAUCUUAAUUUCAGCUAUGUACAAUCCAGAUAAAGGAUUCAUGUCUGUACUCAUUUUGUACACACUCUUGAUACAGCGUUUGAAAGUCAGAUGAGCCUUCAAAAUUUGCAAGUGAUGAUCUGUAUAARGUAAAAUGUAUUGCCUAUUUGUUGAUGCCUGUAAGCAUACCUAUUUCACUAAAGCAGAAGCUACAUUCAUUAUCYUGUAUGGACUAAAUGCUGAUGUGCUUCCUUCUCACAUUGUUUUUGCUACUGUGGUAGAGUUUUACCACUUGAAUUCACUGACUAAUGUUCUUGACUUUUAGGCAGGGUGAAWCCUUUAUUAAUUUUAAUUUUUCAAAAUCUGUUACCCACUAAUCACAUAAGUAUACCAACAGYUGUAAAUUCUUUGCAAUAUUUCACAGUUCAAAAACAUUUUUAUUUUCUUCUGCAAAGAUUUUAUUAAACUGACCUGUACCAUCCUCCUCACAGGACCGUAGYGGUGUACCCUAGUAUCCAUGAUACAAAUUAGGAGAUUUGGUCUGAAAUAAUAGAGAUAAUAUGUAAUCCUGAACUGACAUCUGAAGGACUGGUUACAGGUCUGUAAGUCAGCCUCAGUUAGUAUAGUCAGUCCUGUGUUAGGGUCAAGAGUAAGACAUUUUACUCUUUUAACAAAUUAUCCAAAGCCUGAGCUUUUUUUUCAGCUUUUGUUACAUUUCAGGAUUCAUGCUGAAUAACAAUAAUAAAAGAUGAAUCCUAUCUGUUUUUCUCUUGAUU